UUUCAGGCGGCCUCCUGAGAAAUGUUUGCAAUUGUAAGGCGUCUCUCUCAUCCAGGUUUACCCAGAUUCGCAAACUAUGGCGACAAACAACCAUAGCAGAAGCAUGUCCGGAUUAUUUCACAUAUAUCACAAAAUCCUGCAAAGGGUCUGUCCCCAUUGGAUCACCUCCCAUCACGCCACACACGACGUGAAUGACUUCGUGCUUCUCCAUACCUGCAUUGAUCUCUGGGUCCAUUGCCAGUUAUAAACCUCCAAGGGCAAUAGCCAUGAGGUGAUGUACAGUCAAGCAUCACUUAAUAACCAGGAUACAUUCUGAGAAAUUUGUCGUUAGGCAAUUUUUUCAUUGCACGAACCUCACAGAGUGUACUUACACUAACCUAGAUAGUAGCAUCCAGUAAACACCUGGGCUAUAUGGUCUAGCCUAUUGCUCCUAGGCUACAAACCUGUAUAGCAUGUUACUGUACUGAAUAUGUAGGCACUUGUAACACAAUGGUAAGUGUUUUUGUAUCUAAACAUAUCUAAACAUAGGAGAGGUAAUGCAUUGUGCUACAGCAUUACAAUGGCUAUGACAGACACUAGGCAAUAGGAAUUUUCCAGCUCCAUUAUAAUCUUAAGGGACCACCAUGGCACAUGCAGCCCAUUGUUGACCAAAAGUUGUUAUGUGGUGAAUGACUAUAAUUGGCUUUUCAGAGCAACCACUCACAAGGGGGUGUAGUAUAGCUUACUAGACAAAACUGCAGCCGCUGCUCUGUUUUUUGCUCUUAGAAAACUGAGUACCUGAUUUGGACAAAAUCAUAAUAAAAUUUAGAUAGAGCCAACAUUUGUCCUCUGGAAGUUUCUGACAAGAUACAAGUCACCGUUAUAAUAGUCAAAUGUCAAAGUGGUAUAUCUAACAAAAUUAAAACAGACAGCUAGGAGUGAGAAGAUUUAAGAAAAUUCAGGUGGCCCAAAGGAAAGCCAAGACAAGACAUUCUCUCCCGGCCUUUGGGCCUGGAUUUUCAUUUCAGCAGGUAACGAGGAGACCAAAGGCCUAGUUAUUUAUGGAGAUCUGGGGCCACAGCAGAGCUCCUCAUGGCAGGAUAAGGCAGUGGAAAGCAGACUCAACGGUUAACCCACAGUCCUCCUCAGCAAGCUGGGAGAAGCAACUGAUGCCACUUAGAUGCUUAGACCGGGCCUUCUGGGAGAGAUCUGGCCCAAGGAGCAGCCGGCAGCUUGACACAGUGACCAAUUGGAAGCACAGCAGCCACACGCCAUGAAACAAGGUGAUCAUCUUCACUCAUUUCCUGAGGCCAGAGCCUUCCUUACGCAGGACAUGGAUACCCCAGUCCCAGCUGUGCUGAAGCGUCAGGAAGCCUCCCCCGACCCCACCCUGAACAACAGUGAGGGGGGUUAGGUGUCCUCAAAAGAUCUACUCUGUCAACUGGAGUUGUUGAGAAACUCAGGAAAGGGAACUAAAAAGGAUAAGAAAGUGGUGCAUUCCAGUGUCUUCCUGUUCUCUGUUGCAGAGAGCCAGCUGGUGGACCGCAGAGACAGACUUCCAGCCAGGGCCAAGCCCUUCAGGAAGGGAGUCAUGCACCAAACUCAGCUAACAGACCACCAGGGCACCACUGGGUCUCCUGCUGGGGAACAGCACACCUAUGGGUGGGCUCUAGGGGUGGGGUGGCCUGGUUGCUGGUUCUGCUCUGCCACUUCUUAGCUGGACUUGAGCAAUUUGUAACAUUUCUUGGCUCAGUUUCUCCACCUGCACAAUCAAAAUAUCACUACCUUCCUCCAAGA
Molecule: long non-coding RNA, 1776 nt
Filed under: Homo sapiens (human)
Lineage: Eukaryota; Metazoa; Chordata; Mammalia; Primates; Hominidae
Description: HSALNT0308868
Source: RNAcentral